Salvelinus fontinalis (brook trout) is the source of this 3860-nucleotide RNA transcript. It is a transcript of the gene named cilia- and flagella-associated protein 251-like, with no coding region annotated. Lineage: Eukaryota; Metazoa; Chordata; Actinopteri; Salmoniformes; Salmonidae. The record is from RefSeq and is a predicted model, not a curated record. The transcript has 3 exons.
GUGACGUAUAAUCUAGUGGACGGGACGCUUCCUCAACAACAGCAGCUAGUCAGCAUCUUCGGUAGCUUGCUAGCCAACAUAGCCGAAACAUUCAAGCUCUGUAAUCGCUUUCGAUGUAAAAUAGCCACUUUGUUGUAAUUACACCUUUGUCGUAUAGGUAGUUACCCACUUUACUUUCAUAUUUACGUUGCUAGUAACUAUCUGAAUAGCUAAAAUAGCAUUAGCCUAGUGCUAGGCUAACUAGCUAGCUAACAUCCGCAACCAUGAGCUCACUAAGCUACUUCCCCCCUGGUAAAGAAGAGACUGUUAAAAGAGAAGUAGAGGAAGAUGUUACUGUGAAAGAAGAGGAAGAUGUUACUGUGAAAGAAGAGGAAGAUGUUACUGUGAAAGAAGAGGAAGAAGUUACUGUAAAAGAAACGGAAGAUGUUACUGUGAAAGAAGAGGAAGAUGCUACUGUGAAUGAAGAGGCUGAUAUUACUGUGAAAGAAGAGGAUGAUAUUACUGUGAAAGAAGAGGAUGCAAUUGAAAGAGUGAAAGAGGAGGAGGAGGAGAUGACUGUCACGGUGAAAGAAGAGGAAGAAGUGUUUGGAGUAAAGGAGGAAGAAGAGGAGAAGGAGGGGGAGAUGACUGUCACAUUGGAGGAAGGAGAGGAGGAGGGGGAGAUGACUGUCACAUUGGAGGAAGGAGAGGAGGAGGGGGAGACGACUGUCACAUUGGAGGAAGGAGAGGAGGAGGGGGAGAUGACUGUCACAUUGGAGGAAGGAGUGGAGGAGGAGCCAGGAGAUCUGAUUAACACCAUGAACCAUACAAACGCUUCACACCGCGUGGCCGCGGCCACCCUAACCUGGUUGUCCCAGCCCGCACGACCCACGUGGAGUUCCAGGUCUCCGGCAGCCUCUGGAACUGCCGAUCUGCGGCCAACAAGGCAGAGUUCAUCUCAGCCUAUGCUUCCCUCCAGUCCCUCGACUUCAUGGCACUGACGGAAACAUGGAUCACCACAGAUAACACUGCUACUCCUACUGCUCUCUCCUCGUCUGCCCACGUGUUCUCGCACACCCCGAGAGCUUCUGGUCAGCAGGGUGGUGGCACCGGGAUCCUCAUCUCUCCCAAGUGGUCAUUCUCUCUUUCUCCCCUUACCCAUCUGUCUAUCGCCUCCUUUGAAUUCCAUGCUGUCACAGUUACCAGCCCUUUCAAGCUUAACAUCCUUAUCAUUUAUCGCCCUCCAGGUUCCCUCGGAGAGUUCAUCAAUGAGCUUGAUGCCUUGAUAAGCUCCUUUCCUGAGGACGGCUCACCUCUCACAGUUCUGGGUGACUUUAACCUCCCCACGUCUACCUUUGACUCAUUCCUCUCUGCCUCCUUCUUUCCACUCCUCUCCUCUUUUGACCUCACCCUCUCACCUUCCCCCCCUACUCACAAGGCAGGCAAUACGCUUGACCUUAUCUUUACUAGAUGCUGUUCUUCCACUAAUCUCAUUGCAACUCCCCUCCAAGUCUGCGACCACUACCUUGUAUCAUUUUCCCUCUCGCUCUCAUCCAACACUUCCCACACUGCCCCUACUCGGAUGGUAUCGCGCCGUCCCAACCUUCGCUCUCUCUCCCCCGCUACUCUCUCCUCUUCCAUCUUAUCAUCUCUUCCCUCUGCUCAAACCUUCUCCAACCUAUCUCCUGAUUCUGCCUCCUCAACCCUCCUCUCCUCCCUUUCUGCAUCCUUUGACUCUCUAUGUCCCCUAUCCUCCAGGCCGGUUCGGUCCUCCCCUCCCGCUCCGUGGCUGGACGACUCAUUGCGAGCUCACAGAACAGGGCUCCGGGCAGCCGAGCGGAAAUGGAGGAAAACUCGCCUCCCUGCGGACCUGGCAUCCUUUCACUCCCUCCUCUCUACAUUUUCCUCUUCUGUCUCUGCUGCUAAAGCCACUUUCUACCACUCUAAAUUCCAAGCAUCUGCCUCUAACCCUAGGAAGCUCUUUGCCACCUUCUCCUCCCUCCUGAAUCCUCCUCCCCCCCCUCCUCCCUCUCUGCAGACGACUUCGUCAACCAUUUUGAAAAGAAGGUCGACGACAUCCGAUCCUCGUUUGCUAAGUCAAACGACAUCGCUGGUUCUGCUCACACUGCCCUACCCUGUGCUAUGACCUCUUUCUCCCCUCUCUCUCCAGAUGAAAUCUCGCGUCUUGUGACGGCCGGCCGCCCAACAACCUGCCCGCUUGACCCUAUCCCCUCCUCUCUUCUCCAGACCAUUUCCGGAGACCUUCUCCCUCACUUCGCUCAUCAACUCAUCCUUGACCACUGGCUACGUCCCUUCCGUCUUCAAGAGAGCGAGAGUUGCACCCAUUCUGAAAAAACCUACACUCGAUCCCUCCGAUGUCAACAACUACAGACCAGUAUCCCUUCUUUCUUUUCUCUCCAAAACUCUUGAACGUGCCGUCCUUGGCCAGCUCUCCUGCUAUCUCUCUCAGAAUGACCUUCUUGAUCCAAAUCAGUCAGGUUUCAAGACUAGUCAUUCAACUGAGACUGCUCUUCUCUGUAUCACGGAGGCGCUCCGCACUGCUAAAGCUAACUCUCUCUCCUCUGCUCUCAUCCUUCUAGACCUAUCGGCUGCCUUCGAUACUGUGAACCAUCAGAUCCUCCUCGCCACCCUCUCCGAGUUGGGCAUCUCCGGCGCGGCCCACGCUUGGAUUGCGUCCUACCUGACAGGUCGCUCCUACCAGGUGGCGUGGCGAGAAUCUGUCUCCUCACCACGUCCUCUCACCACUGGUGUCCCCCAGGGCUCUGUUCUAGGCCCUCUCCUAUUCUCGCUAUACACCAAGUCACUUGGCUCUGUCAUAACCUCACAUGGUCUCUCCUAUCAUUGCUAUGCAGACGACACACAAUUAAUCUUCUCCUUUCCCCCUUCUGAUGACCAGGUGGCGAAUCGCAUCUCUGCAUGUCUGGCAGACAUAUCAGUGUGGUUGACGGAUCACCACCUCAAGCUGAACCUCGGCAAGACGGAGCUGCUCUUCCUCCCGGGGAAGGACUGCCCGUUCCAUGAUCUCGCCAUCACGGUUGACAACUCCAUUGUGUCCUCCUCCCAGAGCGCUAAGAACCUUGGCGUGAUCCUGGACAACACCCUGUUGUUCUCAACUAACAUCAAGGCGGUGGCCCGUUCCUGUAGGUUCAUGCUCUACAACAUCCGCAGAGUACGACCCUGCCUCACACAGGAAGCGGCGCAGGUCCUAAUCCAGGCACUUGUCAUCUCCCGUCUGGAUUACUGCAACUCGCUGUUGGCUGGGCUCCCUGCCUGUGCCAUUAAACCCCUACAACUCAUCCAGAACGCCGCAGCCCGUCUGGUGUUCAACCUUCCCAAGUUCUCUCACGUCACCCCGCUCCUCCGCUCUCUCCACUGGCUUCCAGUUGAAGCUCGCAUCCGCUACAAGACCAUGGUGCUUGCCUACGGAGCUGUGAGGGGAACGGCACCUCAGUACCUUCAGGCUCUGAUCAGGCCCUACACCCAAACAAGGGCACUGCGUUCAUCCACCUCUGGCCUGCUCGCCUCCCUACCACUGAGGAAGUACAGUUCUCGCUCAGCCCAGUCAAAACUGUUCGCUGCUCUGGCACCCCAAUGGUGGAACAAACUCCCUCACGACGCCAGGACAGCAGAGUCAAUCACCACCUUCCGGAGACACCUGAAACCCCACCUCUUUAAGGAAUACCUAGGAUAGGAUAAAGCAAUCCUUAUGAACCCCCCCUUAAAAGAUUUAGAUGCACUAUUGUAAAGUGGCUGUUCCACUGGAUGUCAUAAGGACCAGACUCAGAGGAACCAGAGCCAGAGACGUCCAAUCCAGCAAGACGACACCACUGCUCUCAGUGUGGAAAGAGUUUUAGAUGGCU